GAUGAACGCUGGCGGCGUGCCUAAUACAUGCAAGUCGAGCGAACAGACGAGGAGCUUGCUCCUCUGACGUUAGCGGCGGACGGGUGAGUAACACGUGGAUAACCUACCUAUAAGACUGGGAUAACUUCGGGAAACCGGAGCUAAUACCGGAUAAUAUAUUGAACCGCAUGGUUCAAUAGUGAAAGACGGUUUUGCUGUCACUUAUAGAUGGAUCCGCGCCGCAUUAGCUAGUUGGUAAGGUAACGGCUUACCAAGGCAACGAUGCGUAGCCGACCUGAGAGGGUGAUCGGCCACACUGGAACUGAGACACGGUCCAGACUCCUACGGGAGGCAGCAGGAGGGAAUCUUCCGCAAUGGGCGAAAGCCUGACGGAGCAACGCCGCGUGAGUGAUGAAGGUCUUCGGAUCGUAAAACUCUGUUAUUAGGGAAGAACAAAUGUGUAAGUAACGAUGCACGUCUUGACGGUACCUAAGCAGAAAGCCACGGCUAACUACGU
RNAcentral lists this ribosomal RNA (496 nucleotides) under uncultured bacterium. RNAcentral's name for it is "partial 16S ribosomal RNA". It matches the Rfam family "Bacterial small subunit ribosomal RNA", at positions 28 to 506 of the family's 1533-position model. The record is from RNAcentral.